UACGUAGGGUGCAAGCGUUGUCCGGAAUUAUUGGGCGUAAAGAGCUCGUAGGCGGUUUGUCGCGUCGAAUGUGAAAACCCGGGGCUCAACCCCGGGCCUGCAUUCGAUACGGGCAGACUAGAGUUCGGUAGGGGAGUCUGGAAUUCCUGGUGUAGCGGUGAAAAUGCGCAGAUAUCAGGAGGAACACCGGUGGCGAAGGCGGGUCUCUGGGCCGAUACUGACGCUGAGGAGCGAAAGCGUGGGGAGCGAACAGG
RNAcentral lists this ribosomal RNA (254 nucleotides) under uncultured bacterium. Its description in RNAcentral is "partial 16S ribosomal RNA". It matches the Rfam family "Bacterial small subunit ribosomal RNA", at positions 524 to 776 of the family's 1533-position model. The record is from RNAcentral.